AAACGACUCUCGACAACGGAUAUCCCGGCUCUCGCAUCGAUGAAGAACGUAGCGAAAUGCGAUACUUGGUGUGAAUUGCAGAAUCCCGUGAACCAUCGAGUCUUUGAACGCAAGUUGCGCCCGAAGCCACUAGGCCGAGGGCACGUCUGCCUGGGUGUCACGC
This 163-nucleotide ribosomal RNA is filed under the name Oreoschimperella verrucosa. RNAcentral describes it as "5.8S ribosomal RNA". It matches the Rfam family "5.8S ribosomal RNA". From Rfam's summary of the family: 5.8S ribosomal RNA (5.8S rRNA) is a component of the large subunit of the eukaryotic ribosome. It is transcribed by RNA polymerase I as part of the 45S precursor that also contains 18S and 28S rRNA. Functionally, it is thought that 5.8S rRNA may be involved in ribosome translocation. The record is from RNAcentral. Lineage: Eukaryota; Viridiplantae; Streptophyta; Magnoliopsida; Apiales; Apiaceae.